UUGCUCAUAAACAAGAAAGAGACAGGGUCAUCUGGACUCUUCUGAAGGCAAGAGUCAGGGCCUGAAGUCUCCAUGAAUGACCUACCCAAGGCACAAGAAGAGGAUCUCACCUGCUGCCUCUUCUCCAGAGACUCCAUCCUGCCUCGAGCUUCAGCCGAGUGUUGGUGACAGAUUGAGAGAGAAGGAAUAAACCACAACACUAUGUUUUAAAGCAACCCAGUGGAACAGAGGGACCUACCAACGCUGGUGAAGUCCCCUCUGUGAAUGGCACAACAGAAGAUGCUGUCCCAGUUCACCGUUGCUCCUUCCCACUGGCAACAGCCUAAGGAGAAGCUGUGUAUAGGUGAGAUGCUCAGCAUCCAUCAGCUGAAGUGAUUAGCUUUUUGCUCCUUUCUAUUAGAAGAGCCUUACC
This 412-nucleotide long non-coding RNA is filed under the name Calidris pugnax (ruff). RNAcentral's name for it is "lncRNA (ENSCPUG00000014040.1)". The record is from RNAcentral. Lineage: Eukaryota; Metazoa; Chordata; Aves; Charadriiformes; Scolopacidae.